UACGAAGGGGGCUAGCGUUGCUCGGAAUCACUGGGCGUAAAGCGCACGUAGGCGGCUUUUUAAGUCAGAGGUGAAAUCCUGGAGCUCAACUCCAGAACUGCCUUUGAUACUGAGAGGCUUGGGUCCGGGAGAGGUGAGUGGAACUGCGAGUGUAGAGGUGAAAUUCGUAGAUAUUCGCAAGAACACCAGUGGCGAAGGCGGCUCACUGGCCCGAUACUGACGCUGAGGCACGAAAGCGUGGGGAGCAAACAGG
This 253-nucleotide ribosomal RNA is filed under the name uncultured bacterium. Its description in RNAcentral is "partial 16S ribosomal RNA". It matches the Rfam family "Bacterial small subunit ribosomal RNA", at positions 524 to 776 of the family's 1533-position model. The record is from RNAcentral.